Molecule: ribosomal RNA, 301 nt
Filed under: uncultured bacterium
Lineage: Bacteria
Description: partial 16S ribosomal RNA
Rfam family: Bacterial small subunit ribosomal RNA
Source: RNAcentral
CAGUCGCCGGGAAUACAGAGGGUGCGAACGUUGCUCGGAAUUACUGGGCGUAAAGCGCGUGUAGGCGGGUCGGCAAGUCAGGCGUGAAAUCCCCAGGCUCAACCUGGGAACUGCGCUUGAAACUGCCGGUCUUGAGUAUCGGAGAGGGUGGCGGAAUCCCUGGUGUAGAGGUGAAAUUCGUAGAUAUCAGGAGGAACACCGGUGGCGAAGGCGGCCACCUGGACGAUAACUGACGCUGAGACGCGAAAGCGUGGGGAGCAAACAGGAUUAGAUACCCGCGUAGUCCCUGUCUCUUAUACAC